RNAcentral lists this ribosomal RNA (686 nucleotides) under uncultured Acidobacteriota bacterium. Its description in RNAcentral is "bacterial SSU rRNA". It matches the Rfam family "Bacterial small subunit ribosomal RNA", at positions 41 to 703 of the family's 1533-position model. Lineage: Bacteria; Pseudomonadati; Acidobacteriota. The record is from RNAcentral.
GGCGUGCCUAACACAUGCAAGUUGAGCGGUAAGGCCCCUUCGGGGGUACACGAGCAGCGAACGGGUGAGUAUCGCGUGGGUAACCUACCCAGAGGUGGAGGAUAGCCCCGGGAAACCGGGGGUAAUACUGCAUAUGUCCUCGAUGACAUAAGUCGACGAGGGCAAAGGCGGGGAUUCUUCGGAACCUGUCGCCUUUGGAUGGGCCCGCGUCCGAUUAGCUUGUUGGUGGGGUAACGGCCCACCAAGGCUGCGAUCGGUAGCCGGCCUGAGAGGGUGAACGGCCACAUUGGGACUGAGACACGGCCCAGACUCCUACGGGAGGCAGCAGUGGGGAAUUUUGGGCAAUGGGGGAAACCCUGACCCAGCGACGCCGCGUGGAGGAUGACGGCCUUCGGGUUGUAAACUCCUGUCAGGUGGGAAGAAGAGCUUCGUGGCUAAUAUCCACGAGGAAUUGACGGUACCACCAAAGGAAGCCCCGGCUAACUCCGUGCCAGCAGCCGCGGUAAUACGGAGGGGGCAAGCGUUAUUCGGAUUUACUGGGCGUAAAGCGCACGUAGGUGGCAUGGUAAGUCAAAGGUGAAAGCCCUCGGCUCAACCGAGGAACUGCCUUUGAAACUGCUUUGCUUGAGUCCGGGAGGGGGGAGCGGAAUUCCCAGUGUAGCGGUGAAAUGCGUAGAUACUGGGAG